This is a non-coding RNA of Arthromyces matolae, 96 nucleotides long. NCBI's taxonomy places the organism in Eukaryota, Fungi, Basidiomycota, Agaricomycetes, Agaricales, Lyophyllaceae. The record is from the annotation of a GenBank genome assembly.
GGGGGCAUAGCUCAGUGGGAGAGCAGCAGACUGAAGUACUCGUGGGUGAAACUGUUCGUGUUCUGAAGGUCCCGUGUUCAAUCCACGGUGCCCCCA